This 253-nucleotide ribosomal RNA is filed under the name uncultured bacterium. RNAcentral describes it as "partial 16S ribosomal RNA". It matches the Rfam family "Bacterial small subunit ribosomal RNA", at positions 524 to 776 of the family's 1533-position model. The record is from RNAcentral.
UACGAGGGGGGCAAGCGUUGUUCGGAAUUAUUGGGCGUAAAGGGCGCGUAGGCGGUUUGACAAGUCUGAUGUGAAAUCUCUGGGCUCAACCCAGAGUCUGCAUUAGAAGCUGUCGAGCUUGAGUAUGGGAGAGGUGAGUGGAAUUUCCGGUGUAGCGGUGAAAUGCGUAGAUAUCGGAAGGAACACCUGUGGCGAAAGCGGCUCACUGGACCAUAACUGACGCUGAGGCGCGAAAGCUAGGGGAGCAAACAGG